UUUAUCUUGAGAAGCUUCAUCGAUCCUCUUCCAGUCCCCACCCUUGCAAGACCAAUGGCCAGAAAAGCAUCCACCACUCUCACAAGCAAAAGCACCAUCCUUCUCUGCUGCUAUCAUCAAAGAUGCUCUCAACUCCACACUUUCUCUGGAAGCAGACUCAGAAUUGAGCAUAACCUCACUAGAUCUUUGAUCAUUGUAAUCACCCAGGUGAAGUUGAUGCCAAGUGAAACCUGUGCAUGAUCCAAAAUCAAAUUCAGUAUAACAGAUUGAAAAUGCCCCCAGUAUACAGCUUGCCCACCUCCUCCCUUUCACUAAACAAAGCUACAAGACAAAAUGUUGCAGUGACAUAAAUCCCAAGGCAGUUACAUUAGCUUAGUACUUAAAUAGAUAAAAUUGACUAAUAGCUUAAAAUAUUAAAAAAAAAAAAGAUGAAAAUCAAAACGAGUAUUUCAGCACAUGCAAAAUAGCACAAAGCUUGCACAGGCAAUUAAAAGGCAAUAAAUGUAUUGGGAAAUCUUAUGUGAUAAGAGUUACUUAAAACCAUGUUUCUUUUCCUUUUUGACUUUAAAGAGCAAACAUAAAUAUAGUAAUAAUAAUAAUAAUAAAAGAUAAUUUUGCAAAAAUAAUAAUAAGAGUAAAAUGAAAAUUGAACACCAGAUCAAAGCAAAUUACAUAAUUACCAAGAAUAACAAAGCAAACACCUCAUCCAUCAGAACAUUUAUAAACAUACUUUUGUAUAAGACUACAUGGAUCAACACUGCUAAGCUUCCAACCAAUAAAAGAUUACUAUUAACUACAAAAGGAAUUAACCCAGAAAUAUAUGAUAGAUACAAACAACAAAAAUACCUUUACCUAAAAAAAAAAGAAAAAAAAAAGAUAUUAC
This 883-nucleotide long non-coding RNA is filed under the name Coffea arabica (coffee). Its description in RNAcentral is "long non-coding RNA (CARA_LNC003530)". The record is from RNAcentral. Lineage: Eukaryota; Viridiplantae; Streptophyta; Magnoliopsida; Gentianales; Rubiaceae.